UGAGGAAUAUUGGUCAAUGGGCGCAAGCCUGAACCAGCCAUGCCGCGUGCAGGAUGAAGCAUCUAUGGUGUGUAAACUGCUUUUGUACGGGAAGAAACCACCCCUCGUGAGGGGUAUUGACGGUACCGUAAGAAUAAGGAUCGGCUAACUCCGUGCCAGCAGCCGCGGUAAUACGGAGGAUCCAAGCGUUAUCCGGAAUCAUUGGGUUUAAAGGGUCCGUAGGCGGGCCGAUAAGUCAGUGGUGAAAUCUCAUAGCUUAACUAUGAAACUGCCAUUGAUACUGUCGGUCUUGAGUAAAUUAGAGGUAGCUGGAAUAUGUAGUGUAGCGGUGAAAUGCUUAGAUAUUACAUGGAAUACCAAUUGCGAAGGCAGGUUACUACUUGUGGAUUGACGCUGAUGGACGAAAGCGUGGGGAGCGAACA
This 422-nucleotide ribosomal RNA is filed under the name uncultured bacterium. RNAcentral's name for it is "bacterial SSU rRNA". It matches the Rfam family "Bacterial small subunit ribosomal RNA", at positions 355 to 774 of the family's 1533-position model. The record is from RNAcentral.